GUUAAAACACUGAGUACACAGCGGCUGCCAAGCAAGAUAUGUUUGGUUGAAGGCCUGGCAACAGGACGACUUCGGUUGAACACCUGACAAUGAAAAAAAGCCCCGGAAGAGGUCCCACACCCUGGUGGGGGGCCGAGUCAGUCGUUAUGUUCCAAGAAGGUAGCUAAGAAACUUGCCCCCGGGCUGAACCCUUGGGGGGCCGAGUCAGCCGUUAUGUUCCAAGAAGGUAGCUAAGAAACUUGCCCCCGGGCUGAACCCUUGGGGGGCCGAGUCAGCCAUUAUGUUUCAGGAAGGUAGCUAGGAAACUUGCCCCCGGGCUAAACCCUUGCCAUAUUAGAAUCCACCAAUUAUAUCCCUGUAACCAUGCAUCUGCUUCUGUAUGCUUGCUUCUGCUCCCCAAAAUCCUAUAAAAGCCCAUCCUUGGUUCCGUGGGGCGCGCCAGUCCCCCGAGUGACUGAAGCGCCCGCAGGUGCCUGUGCCUGUGUAUCCUGACAAUAAACCAAAUCCUCUUGCUGAUUGCAUCCUGUGGUGUCUCGGUCUGGUCUUUGGAGUUGGAGGGUCUCCAUCCCGAGGGAAAGUUCUCCCUGAGAGCUUUUCAUUUGGUGCGUUGGCCGGGAAAGGAGAUCCUCCACCCAGGGACCACCGACCACCCACUGGGAGGUAAGCCGGCCGGCGUCUGUCUGAUUCUGUCUCGUUCUGCCUUAUUCUGUCUGUUCUGUGAGCGCUCAGCCAGGUCUGUUCUGUGAGCGCUCAGCCAGGUCUGUUCUGUGAGCGCUCAGCCAGGUUGUUUGGAAUUUGGGCGGGACGAAGAAGGAGCUGACGAGCUCGGACUUCUCGCCCCGCAGCCCUGGAAGACGUUCCAAGGGUGUUGGGGCCCGACUUUUCGGGGCCCAAUCUGGGAGAGGAGAAAGAUCCGGACUAACGGCACCUCUGUCUGUAUUUUUGGCUUUCAGAGGGCCCCGGACCUUUGCCACCUCCAUCUGACUUUUUGCUUUCAGUUUGGUACCAAAGCCGUGCAGCACGCCUGUCUGUUGUUUGUUUGACUGUUGGUGUUGUUUGUUUUCUCUGUGUCCUAAUCUUCCUUAGAACUAACAUGGGACAGUCCCUAACAAUGCCCCUAAGUCUCACUCUUGAUCAUUGGGAAGACGUCCACGACCGGGCACACAACCAGUCCGUCGAGGUUAAAAAAAAAAAAAAAGGAAAAUGGCAGACUCUCUGCACAUCCGAGUGGCCCACUUUCGGAGCGGGAUGGCCAGUGAAUGACACAUUUAAUAAGAUCAUUAUUUUACAGGUUAAAGAUUGGGUCAUCCACGGACAUCCUGACCAGGUUUCUUAUAUUAUCACUUGAGAGAGUCUCGCCUUAAACCCUCCCUGGGCGGAACCCUUCGUGGACCCGAAUUGGCCUCCCCUCAACCCCCAGCCUGUCCCCUCGGCCCCGCCCGGUCCGCCUGCCACGUCUUCCUCUCUCUACCUUUGUGAAAUCAGAGCCUUCUAAAAAAACCUGUCCUCCCGGCAGACCCAAACUCCCCUCUCAUAGAUCUUCUCUCUGACAGGCCCGGCUAAAACGGAGGAGGCAGAGCCGCCGGCCAGAUCAGUUGCCGGGCCACAGUCUGAUAAGGGUUUCUCCCCUGUCGCAGGGAGAUUGCACAAUAAGCGCGAGGUGAUGCCAGAUUCAACCUCCCAGGCUUUCCCACUUAGACAGGGAACCGGUGGCCAGACCCAAUACUGGCCGUUUUCAGCAGCUGACAUUUACAAUUGGAAACAACACAACCCUUCUUUCUCCAAAGAUCCGGUGGCACUCACCGACCUAAUAGAAUCUGUUUUACUUACCCACCAGCCUACUUGGGAUGACUGCCAACAGCUCUUACAGGCCCUCUUAACCUCAGAAAAAAAAAAACAAAGAGUGUUCCUAGAGGCCAGAAAGCAUGUUCUGGGAGAUGAUGGGCGUCCCACCCAGCUGCCUGAGAAAAUUGAUGCUGCAUUCCCACUUAAGAGACCAAACUGGGAUUUUAAUACAGCUGAAGGUAAGGGACACCUACGCCUUUAUCGCCAGUUGCUUCUAGCGGGUCUCCGAGGGGCUAUACGACGCCCUACUAAUUUGGCUCAGGUAAAACAGGUAUUACAGGAAGCAGGGGAAACUCCCUCCACCUUUCUAGAGAGACUUAAGGAGGCCUACCGUAUGCACACUCCCUAUGACCCAGAUGACCCAGGACAAAUGACGAGUGUCUCUAUGUCCUUCAUCUGGCAGGCUGCUCCAGAUAUCAGGACUAAGUUACAGAGGUUAGAAAAUUUGCAGGGCUAUACAUUACAGGAUUUACUUAAAGAAGCUAAAAAGAUUUUUAAUAAGAGAGAGAUAAAAAAAGAAACAAAGAAUUGAGUCGAAUCUUGGCUGUCGUAGUUCAGGGCCAAAAAAAGGAAGGGAGAUAGGGGGGAGCUCGAAAGGGGCUGAAGCUGGAUAAAGAUCAAUGUGCCUAUUACAAAGAGAAAGGGCACUGGGCCAGAGAGUGCCCCAAGAAGCCUGGCGGACCCCGAAAGCCUCGACCACGAACCUCCCUCUUGGCUCUAGAUAAAGAUUAGGGAGGUCAGGGCCAGGAGCCCCCCCCCCUGAGCCCAGGGUAACGCUUAAAGUUGGGGGACAGCCGGUUACUUUCCUGGUAGACACAGGAGCCCAGCAUUCAGUCCUCACCCAAGCUUCAGGACAACUCAGCGACCGGACGGCCUGGGUACAAAGAGCUACUGGUGAGAAACAAUACCGAUGGACUACGGACCGCCGGGUUCAGCUGGCUACCGAAGUACAUAGAACCAGGCCGGACCUAUCGGACCAGCCUCUUCAGAAUGCUGACCACACAUGGUACACGGAUGACAACAGCUUCUUGACAGAGGGAGAGCGAAAGGCUGGAGCUGCGGUCACUACGGAGGACAAAGUGAUUUGGGCGAAAGCCCUGCCUGCUGGUACCUCCACACAACGGGCUGAACUCAUCGCCUUGACUCAGGCGCUCAAGAUGGCAAAAGGUAAGAGGCUAAAUGUAUAUACAGACAGCCGUUAUGCCUUUGCCACGGCACACAUCUACGGGGAGAUCUACCGGAGGC
Non-coding RNA from Rattus norvegicus (Norway rat), 3090 nucleotides. The record is from RefSeq and is a predicted model, not a curated record. NCBI's taxonomy places the organism in Eukaryota, Metazoa, Chordata, Mammalia, Rodentia, Muridae.